AUUGAACGCUGGCGGCAUGCUUUACACAUGCAAGUCGAGCGGCAGCGCGGGGGCAACCCUGGCGGCGAGCGGCGAACGGGUGAGUAAUGCAUCGGAACGUACCCUGGAGUGGGGGAUAACGCCGCGAAAGCGGCGCUAAUACCGCAUAUGCUCUGAGGAGGAAAGUGGGGGACCGCAAGGCCUCACGCUCUGGGAGCGGCCGAUGUCCGAUUAGCUAGUUGGUGGGGUAAAGGCUUACCAAGGCGACGAUCGGUAGCUGGUCUGAGAGGAUGAUCAGCCACACUGGGACUGAGACACGGCCCAGACUCCUACGGGAGGCAGCAGUGGGGAAUUUUGGACAAUGGGGGCAACCCUGAUCCAGCCAUGCCGCGUGAGUGAAGAAGGCCU
This 387-nucleotide ribosomal RNA is filed under the name uncultured bacterium. RNAcentral's name for it is "bacterial SSU rRNA". It matches the Rfam family "Bacterial small subunit ribosomal RNA", at positions 28 to 417 of the family's 1533-position model. The record is from RNAcentral.